UACGGAGGAGGCAAGCGUUAUCCGGAAUUAUUGGGCGUAAAGCGUCCGUAGGUGGCACUUCAAGUCUGCGGUCAAAGACCGGGGCUUAACCCUGGAAAGGCCGUGGAAACUGAAGUGCUAGAGUGCAGUAGGGGUAGAGGGAAUUCCCGGUGUAGCGGUGAAAUGCGUAGAGCUCGGGAAGAACAUCGGUGGCGAAAGCGCUCUACUGGACUGCAACUGACACUGAGGGACGAAAGCGUGGGGAGCGAACAGG
Molecule: ribosomal RNA, 253 nt
Filed under: uncultured bacterium
Lineage: Bacteria
Description: partial 16S ribosomal RNA
Rfam family: Bacterial small subunit ribosomal RNA
Source: RNAcentral